Molecule: ribosomal RNA, 505 nt
Filed under: Escherichia coli
Lineage: Bacteria; Pseudomonadati; Pseudomonadota; Gammaproteobacteria; Enterobacterales; Enterobacteriaceae
Description: partial 23S ribosomal RNA
Rfam family: Bacterial large subunit ribosomal RNA
Source: RNAcentral
CUGGGCGUUAAGUUGCAGGGUAUAGACCCGAAACCCGGUGAUCUAGCCAUGGGCAGGUUGAAGGUUGGGUAACACUAACUGGAGGACCGAACCGACUAAUGUUGAAAAAUUAGCGGAUGACUUGUGGCUGGGGGUGAAAGGCCAAUCAAACCGGGAGAUAGCUGGUUCUCCCCGAAAGCUAUUUAGGUAGCGCCUCGUGAAUUCAUCUCCGGGGGUAGAGCACUGUUUCGGCAAGGGGGUCAUCCCGACUUACCAACCCGAUGCAAACUGCGAAUACCGGAGAAUGUUAUCACGGGAGACACACGGCGGGUGCUAACGUCCGUCGUGAAGAGGGAAACAACCCAGACCGCCAGCUAAGGUCCCAAAGUCAUGGUUAAGUGGGAAACGAUGUGGGAAGGCCCAGACAGCCAGGAUGUUGGCUUAGAAGCAGCCAUCAUUUAAAGAAAGCGUAAUAGCUCACUGGUCGAGUCGGCCUGCGCGGAAGAUGUAACGGGGCUAAACCAUG